This is a long non-coding RNA of Perca flavescens (yellow perch), 642 nucleotides long. RefSeq lists it as uncharacterized. The transcript has 3 exons. The record is from RefSeq and is a predicted model, not a curated record. NCBI's taxonomy places the organism in Eukaryota, Metazoa, Chordata, Actinopteri, Perciformes, Percidae.
CUCACUCUACAGUGGUGAGAGAGAGAGCUAUAGAGAAAGUUUAUGUAAGUCAUAAUGGUAAAUUAUUGUGUUUGUGCUGGUUGCACAAAGUCCAGCCUGUCAGGAAAUCAUGUACAUAAUUUUCCUUGUAGGAAAAGCAAGGUUUUUUGUUUUUGGGUUCGUUUUGUGCAGGUGAAGUGAGCAGACUUCACUGCCGCGUCUGUCACCACACUCUCGGUCGUCUGUGGCGCUCAUUUCACUCCGGAGAGUUAUAGACCUGAAGAGUUAUAGACCUGGAGAUUUGUUGGAGUCUCGGAUAGGAUUUUGGAGUAAGGACCAUGCGAGGCUGAUUACAGAUGCUGUUCCCUCGGUGAUGGAAUCAAGUCCACCACCAUCAAGGCUUUCACCUGAAUCUGGCGUGGGCAUGAUUGGAGGACCAAGUGCUAGCACUUGCAGAAAUUCCAUGCACCGAAAAGAGCUCCUAGCAGAAUUUUGGCAGAGCGUGCAGCCAGUAAUGAAGGGAUAGAUGCACCUGACAGAGGGCUUCUCUCUACAGGAUCCUGGGCCAUUAUUGCUUCGUCGUGGGUCAUAGUGCAACAUCAGAUGUCUGCAAAGCUCAUCAGUUUUCCUUGGACUUGGGUGGCCCCUAAAUCAUGGCUGCAG